Molecule: ribosomal RNA, 432 nt
Filed under: uncultured bacterium
Lineage: Bacteria
Description: partial 16S ribosomal RNA
Rfam family: Bacterial small subunit ribosomal RNA
Source: RNAcentral
GCGCACGCUGGCGGCAGGCCUAACCCAUGCCAGUCGCACGGAUCCUUCGGGAUUAGUGGCGGACGGGUGAGUAACACGUGGGAACGUGCCCUUUGGUUCGGAACAACUCAGGGAAACUUGAGCUAAUACCGGAUGUGCCCUUCGGGGGAAAGAUUUAUCGCCAUUGGAGCGGCCCGCGUCUGAUUAGCUAGUUAGUGAGGUAACGGCCCACCAAGGCGACGAUCAGUAGCUGGUCUGAGAGGAUGAUCAGCCACACUGGGACUGAGACACGGCCCAGACUCCUACGGGAGGCAGCAGUGGGGAAUCUUGCGCAAUGGGCGAAAGCCUGACGCAGCCAUGCCGCGUGAAUGAUGAAGGUCUUAGGAUUGUAAAAUUCUUUCAGCGGGGACGAUAAUGACGGUACCCGCAGAAGAAGCUCCGGCUAACUUCGUG